GACGAACGCUGGCGGCGUGCUUAACACAUGCAAGUCGAACGGAAAGGCCCUGCUUUUGUGGGGUGCUCGAGUGGCGAACGGGUGAGUAACACGUGAGUAACCUGCCCUUGACUUUGGGAUAACUUCAGGAAACUGGGGCUAAUACCGGAUAGGAGCUCCUGCUGCAUGGUGGGGGUUGGAAAGUUUCGGCGGUUGGGGAUGGACUCGCGGCUUAUCAGCUUGUUGGUGGGGUAGUGGCUUACCAAGGCUUUGACGGGUAGCCGGCCUGAGAGGGUGACCGGCCACAUUGGGACUGAGAUACGGCCCAGACUCCUACGGGAGGCAGCAGUGGGGAAUAUUGCACAAUGGGCGGAAGCCUGAUGCAGCGACGCCGCGUGCGGGAUGACGGCCUUCAGGUUGUAAACCGCUUUCGCCUGUGACGAAGCGUGAGUGACGGUAAUGGGUAAAGAAGCACCGGCUAACUACGUG
RNAcentral lists this ribosomal RNA (468 nucleotides) under uncultured bacterium. RNAcentral describes it as "partial 16S ribosomal RNA". It matches the Rfam family "Bacterial small subunit ribosomal RNA", at positions 28 to 507 of the family's 1533-position model. The record is from RNAcentral.